RNAcentral lists this ribosomal RNA (253 nucleotides) under uncultured bacterium. RNAcentral's name for it is "partial 16S ribosomal RNA". It matches the Rfam family "Bacterial small subunit ribosomal RNA", at positions 524 to 776 of the family's 1533-position model. The record is from RNAcentral.
UACGUAGGGGGCAAACGUUGUCCGGAUUUAUUGGGCGUAAAGAGCGUGUAGGCGGCUUGGUAGGUCCGCUGUGAAAACUCGAGGCUCAACCUCGAGAUGUCGGCGGAAACCACUUGGCUAGAGUCCGGAAGAGGAGAGUGGAAUUCCUGGUGUAGCGGUGAAAUGCGCAGAUAUCAGGAAGAACACCCGUGGCGAAGGCGGCUCUCUGGGACGGUACUGACGCUGAGACGCGAAAGCGUGGGGAGCGAACAGG